RNAcentral lists this ribosomal RNA (355 nucleotides) under uncultured bacterium. Its description in RNAcentral is "bacterial SSU rRNA". It matches the Rfam family "Bacterial small subunit ribosomal RNA", at positions 1 to 334 of the family's 1533-position model. The record is from RNAcentral.
CUAGCGACUUCAGAGUUGAUCCUGGCUCAGGACGAACGCUGGCGGCGUGCUUAACACAUGCAAGUCGAACGAGGAUAUACUGCGGAAGGCUUCGGCUGGAAGGGGUGUAUUCGAGUGGCGGACGGGUGAGUAACGCGUGAGCAAUCUGUCCCAGACAGGGGAAUAACACUUGGAAACAGGUGCUAAUACCGCAUAAGACCACAGUAUCGCAUGGUACAGAGGUAAAAGGAGCAAUCCGGUUUGGGGUGAGUUCGCGUCCGAUUAGAUAGUUGGUGAGGUAACGGCCCACCAAGUCGACGAUCGGUAGCCGACCUGAGAGGGUGAUCGGCCACAUUGGAACUGAGAGACGGUCCAA